RNAcentral lists this small nuclear RNA (18 nucleotides) under Arabidopsis thaliana (thale cress). RNAcentral describes it as "snRNA_09700". The record is from RNAcentral. Lineage: Eukaryota; Viridiplantae; Streptophyta; Magnoliopsida; Brassicales; Brassicaceae.
GAGACCGUUUCUUGGUUC